This is an RNA transcript of Oncorhynchus keta (chum salmon), 5408 nucleotides long. It is a transcript of the gene named low-density lipoprotein receptor-related protein 6-like, with no coding region annotated. The record is from RefSeq and is a predicted model, not a curated record. Lineage: Eukaryota; Metazoa; Chordata; Actinopteri; Salmoniformes; Salmonidae. The transcript is spliced from 23 exons.
AGGAGUGAAAGGAGAUCCGGCCAGCAGCCGAGGCAGGGUCAUAGGGGUAUGUUAUUCUAAACCGAAGCACCCAGUGCUCCGGCAGAAAAUAGUCCCUUCGGAAUGUGUAUCUUUCACACUCAAACAAUUGUUAUAUUAGACCAGGUUUAAUGUCUUCGACCGGGAACAAGUGUCUUGACCCAUCGGUUGCGUGAUUUUAUCAGCCACCGUAGCGAUUUUGAAUGUGUUGAAAUCCGCUGGACGAGAGAGGCUGCAUGUAAUCAAGUCCAACAAUAGGCAGCAGAGAAAGAGACGGAGGGGAAGGAGAGAAGAAGGUACAGGAGGGGGAGGGUUGGCAUGUUCUGCUCCCGGGGCGGAAGGAGACGUUGCACUCAGGCAGGAGAAUGAAUCGCAGCGCCACCGAGCCUGGAACCUCCGACGUAGUAGAAUGGAGCUGAGAAGAAUCACAGUUACAUUGUAGCCAGAAACAAACCCCCGACGUAGUAGAAUGGAACUGAGAAGAAUCAUCACAGUUACAUUGUAGCCAGAAACAGAACCCCGAAUAUUGUUCCAAUAUAACAGUUCCGUCUGAGGAAUAGAAACACAGCGAUGCGGACCAGGCGCUGAACAGGAGCGGCCGGGGUGAGAACAAGGCAGAAAGAUGGGCGCCGUGCUACGGACUGUGUUGUUGUGUAGUUUUUCUUUGCUAAUAAGAGGUGUACCCCUCCUGCUCUAUGCCAACCGACGGGACCUGCGGCUGGUGGAUGCGGCCCACGGCAGGGCCAACGCCACGGUGGUGGUGGGCGGUCUGGAGGACGCCGCCGCUGUGGACUACGUAUACGCUCAGGGAUUGGUCUACUGGAGUGACGUCAGCGAGGAGGCCAUCAAACGCACCACCUUCAACCAAUCGGGGCCCGGCUCGGCGGCGGCCGCCCAGACGGUGGUUGUAUCGGGGCUGGCGUCCCCGGACGGCCUGGCCUGUGACUGGUUAGGCAGGAAGCUGUACUGGACGGACUCCGAGACCAAUCGGAUAGAGGUGGCCGAGCUGGAUGGAUCGUUACGGAGAGUUCUCUUCUGGCAGGACCUGGACCAGCCCCGAGCCAUCUCUCUGGACCCGGGGAGAGGGUACAUGUACUGGACGGACUGGGGCGAGGUUCCUAAGAUUGAGCGAGCGGGGAUGGACGGUACCAGCAGAGCCAUGAUCAUUGACAAGGAGAUCUACUGGCCCAACGGUCUCACGCUGGACUACAGCCAGGAGAAACUGUACUGGGCUGACGCCAAGUUCAACUUCAUACAUCGCUCCAAUCUGGACGGCACUGGGAGGGAGGUGGUGGUUAAGGGAGAUCUCCCUCACCCCUUCGCUCUGACGCUGUACGAGGACACUCUCUUCUGGACCGACUGGAACACCCAUUCCAUCCACUCGUGUCAGAAAGAGACCGGGGAGGAUCGGAAGAAAGUCCACUCGGACAUCUUCUCUCCCAUGGAUAUACACGUCUACAGCCAGAAGAGACAGCCGCUACUGUCUUCACCAUGUUCGGUGAACAACGGAGGCUGUUCCCAGCUCUGUCUCCUGUCUCCUAUUACACCUCACUACCAGUGUGCCUGUCCCACCGGAGUCCAGCUGCUAGAGGACAGCAAGACCUGCAGAGACGGUCCCACACAGCUCCUCCUCCUGGCCCGGCGGACUGACCUGCGUCGCAUCUCCCUGGAUACGCCCGACUUCACCGACAUCAUCCUCCCGACGGACGACAUCCGCCACGCCAUCGCCAUCGACUAUGACCCGGUGGACGGACACAUCUAUUGGACGGACGACGACGUCCGGGCCAUCAGGAGGUCCUACCUGGACGGCUCUGACGCUCAGUUCAUCGUCACCUCACAGGUGAACCAUCCUGACGGCAUCGCUGUGGACUGGAUCGCCCGGAACCUGUACUGGACGGACACGGGAACGGACCGCAUCGAGGUGACACGCCUCAACGGAACCAUGAGGAAGAUCCUGAUAUCAGAGGACCUGGACGAGCCACGAGCCAUCGUACUGGAUCCUGUAGCUGGAUACAUGUACUGGACAGACUGGGGCGAGGUUCCUAAGAUUGAGCGUGCCGACCUGGACGGGACGGAGAGACUAGUGAUGGUCAACACCUCCCUGGGCUGGCCCAAUGGUCUGGCGCUGGACUACACAGACCGGAUGAUCUACUGGGGCGACGCCAAGACGGACAAGAUAGAGGUGAUGUGUAUGGACGGUUCAGGCAGGAGGAUCCUGGUAGAAGAUAAGCUACCUCACAUCUUUGGCUUCACUCUGCUGGGGGACUAUGUGUACUGGACAGACUGGCAGAGGCGGAGUAUCGAGAGGGUUCACAAACACACCACGGAGAGAGAGUUCAUCAUAGACCAGCUACCAGACCUGAUGGGGCUCAAAGCUACAUAUGUACACCAGACCUUCGGUACCAACCUGUGUGCGGAGACGAAUGGUGGGUGUAGCCACCUAUGCCUGUAUAAGCCGGUGGGCGUCCAGUGUGCCUGUCCCAUUGGUCUAGAGCUGAUAGCUGACCAGUCCACCUGCAUCGUACCAGAAGCCUUCCUCCUCUUCUCCCGACACACAGACAUCAGACGCAUCUCCUUGGAAACCAACAACAACAACGUGGCCAUCCCGCUGACCGGGGUUAAAGAGGCGUCUGCACUUGACUUUGACAUCACCGACAACCGUAUCUACUGGACAGAUAUCACACUGAAGACAAUCAGUCGUGCGUUUAUGAACGGCAGUGCUCUGGAACACGUGGUGGAGUUUGGCCUGGACUACCCAGAAGGCAUGGCGGUGGACUGGUUGGGGAAGAAUCUGUACUGGGCCGACACGGGGACCAAUCGUAUUGAGGUGGCCAAGCUGGAUGGACAGCACAGACAGGUCCUAGUCUGGAAGGAUCUGGACAGCCCUCGAGCCCUGGCACUGGACCCUGCUGAGGGGUUUAUGUACUGGACAGAGUGGGGUGGGAAGCCCAAGAUUGACCGCUCAGCGAUGGACGGGACGGGUCGGAUCACUCUGGUGCCCAAUGUGGGCCGAGCCAACGGGCUGACCAUCGACUAUGCCGAGAGGCGCCUGUACUGGACUGACCUGGACACGACACUCAUAGAGUCCUCCAACAUGCUGGGUCUGGAGCGUGAGGUUAUAGCCGACGACCUCCCCCACCCCUUUGGUCUGACCCAGUACCAGGACUACAUCUAUUGGACGGACUGGUCUCAGCGCAGCAUCGAACGGGCCAAUAAGACAUCGGGCCAGAACCGUACGGUCAUCCAGGGUCACCUAGACUACGUGAUGGACAUCUUGGUCUUCCACUCGUCACGCCAGGGGGGCUGGAACGCCUGCGCCUCCACCAAUGGGCAAUGCUCACACCUCUGUCUGGCUGUACCAAUCAGCAGCUUCGUCUGUGGAUGUCCCGCCCACUUCUCCCUCAACAAUGACAACAAGACCUGCAGUGCCCCUACGUCGUUCCUCUUAUGUUCCUCUUGUUCAGUGACAGCCAUUAACCGGAUGGUGAUGGAUGAGCAUCAGUCUCCUGACAUCAUCCUUCCCCUUCACAGUCUGAGGAAUGUCAGGGCUGAGUUGACUGACGACCUGUUCCUCCUAUAAGACAACUGUACUGGAUCGACUCCAAACAGAACUAUCCUCAGAGCGAGUUGACUGACGGCCUAGUGAUGACGGUGGUGUGGAGCCAAGUGGGCGGUCCUAACCUGGGCCUCCAGCCGUUUGACCUGAGCAUCGACAUCUACAGCCGCUUCAUCUACUGGACCAGCGAGGUCACUAAUGUCAUUAACGUGACGAGGACAGACGGCAGCCGGGUGGGAGUGGUGCUGAGAGGAGAACACGACAGACCCAGAGCCAUCGUGGUCAACCCAGAGCGAGGGUACAUGUACUUUACCAACCUGCAGGAGCGCAGUCCUAAGAUAGAACGAGCCAAUCACUGAUCUGCCUGGCGGGACAGAGAGAGGGACCCUGUUGUUCUUCAGUGGCCUGGGGAAGCCCUGUUGCCCUGGCCCCCCUGUAGACAAUGAGGUUGGCAAGCUGUUCUGGGUCGACUCAGAAUCACUGAUCUGCCUGGCAGGAGCCAAUCGGAUUGUGAUUGAGGACUCCAACAUCCUCCAGCCGGUUGGUCUGACGGUGUUUGGUAACCACCUGUACUGGAUCGACCGUCAGCAACAGAUGAUCGAGCGCAUCGACAAGACGACCAGGGAGGGAAGGACCAAGAUCCAGGCUCGCAUUGCCUCUCUCAGCGACAUUCACGCUGUCUACGACCUCGACAUGAGCGAGUACAUGCGCUGCUCUCCGGACCACUUCAGCUGUUCCAGCGGUCAGUGUGUGGGGAAACAUCAGAAGUGUGACCACUCUACAGACUGCUCUGACAACUCAGACGAGAUGGGCUGCUACCCGACUGAAGAGCCGUCCUCCCAGCCCACCAACACCAUCGGCUCCAUUGUGGGGGUUGUCAUGGCGCUGUUUGUGGUGGGUGCCAUCUACUUGGUGUGCCAGCGCGUGCUCUGUCCCCAGAUGAAGGAUGACAGGGAGACUGUAACCAAUGACUUGGUGGUUCACGGCCCUUCUGUUUCUCUGGGUUAUGUACCUCACCCUGCCUCUCUGUCCGGAUCUCUGCCAGGUAUGUCCAGGGGGAAGUCUGUGAUUGGUUCGUUGAGCAUCAUGGUCUUGCUUUGGUCCAGUGGCCCCUUUGUCUUGUUGACUCCCCACGUUGUCUGGAGCCUCCUCCUCAAGCUCUUUCCACCAAGGGCACUUACUUCCCCCGGUGUCUUAUCCUGAACCCUCCUCCAUCUCCUGCGACCGUCAGGUCUCAGUACACCAUGGAGUUUGGCUACUCCUCCAACAGCCCGUCAACGCACCGUUCAUACAGUUACCGUCCCUACACCUACAGUCACUUCGCCCCUCCUACAACCCCCUGCUCCACGGACGUCUGCGACAGCGACUACACCCCCGGACGCCGCGCCCCGCCCACCUCCAACUCCGGCGUCGUCAAAGGUUACACCAGCGACCUGAACUACGACUCGGAACCCUUUCCCCCACCCCCCACCCCCCGCAGCCAGUACCUGUCAGCGGAGGAGAACUGUGAGAGCUGCCCCCCCUCCCCCUAUACGGAGCGCUCCUACUCUCACCACCUCUACCCCCGCCCCCGUCACCCUGCACAGACUCCUCCUGAAACCCCUCGCUGUACAUAACAAUUGUUGAUAUUGUGUUUCUAAAAGAGGGGGAGGAGAGGAGGCUGCUGAGGGAUGUACAGAACAUAUGAACAGAGAAACAGGAAGCUCGGGGUGGAAGAAAGAGCUCCGGGAACAUUUGUACAUUUUAAAAAUAGAAAAAAGCAUAUCUAUAUAUUUUCUAUACAGCGUUUACUGGAUACGCCGUAGAGGUUUUGUAUUCAAACAUUUGUACAUUU